RNAcentral lists this ribosomal RNA (322 nucleotides) under Dicathais orbita. Its description in RNAcentral is "partial 16S ribosomal RNA". It matches the Rfam family "Bacterial large subunit ribosomal RNA", at positions 2244 to 2645 of the family's 2925-position model. The record is from RNAcentral. Lineage: Eukaryota; Metazoa; Mollusca; Gastropoda; Neogastropoda; Muricidae.
AUAAAAAAGUAAGGCUGCUAAGAACUUUGGUUGGGGCGACUGAGGAACAAAUAAAGCUUCCUUUAAAUUAAAAGACUUACAAGUAUUGAUCCAACAAAUUUGAUUAAAGGAAUUAGUUACCGUAGGGAUAACAGCAUAAUCCCUUUUGAGAGUUCUCAUCGAAAAGGGGGUUUGUGACCUCGAUGUUGGACCAGAAUACCCAGAAGAUGCAGCCGUCUUCAAUGGUUGGUCUGUUCGACCAUUAAAAUUCUACGUGAUCUGAGUUCAGACCGGCGUGAGCCAGGUCAGUUUCUAUCUUCAAUUUCUAUAGUGGCCUUAGUAC